UACGUAGGGUGCGAGCGUUAAUCGGAAUUACUGGGCGUAAAGCGUGCGCAGGCGGUUUUGUAAGCCAGAUGUGAAAUCCCCGGGCUUAACCUGGGAAUGGCAUUUGGGACUGCAAGGCUCGAGUGCGGCAGAGGAGACUGGAAUUCCUGGUGUAGCAGUGAAAUGCGUAGAUAUCAGGAGGAACACCGAUGGCGAAGGCAGGUCUCUGGGCUGACACUGACGCUCAUGCGCGAAAGCCAGGGGAGCGAACGGG
Molecule: ribosomal RNA, 253 nt
Filed under: uncultured bacterium
Lineage: Bacteria
Description: partial 16S ribosomal RNA
Rfam family: Bacterial small subunit ribosomal RNA
Source: RNAcentral